AUGCCACACGCCGCGUUCCUCCGCCCGCUCAUCCCGCCGCCUCUCGUCCCCGCGAGGCCGCUCGCCGCGCGAUGCCGCCACCUUCGCGGCGUCCGCGGGAGUUGCGCCCCCGGCGAGGGCGCGGGCGAGGGCGCCCCCGGCGCGGAGUGGCUGAGCUCGGCGGUCGGGGAGAAGGUGGACGAGCUGCUGCGGCGCGAGGAGAACCGGGCGCUGCUGGACGGGGUCGAGGCCGCCGAGCGCCGCGUGGAGCUCGCCCGCGCCAAGCUCGCGGACAUCGAGCGCCAGGAGGCCGCCGCCCGCCUCGCCACCGAGGAGGUCCGCCGCCUCGAGAGGCGCCGGGACGAGAUUGCAGAGUCACAGCGGGAAUUGCUACAGGCAAGAGAAAUGAUUGAUGAAGCACAGUGUACCUUGACUUCUAGCCUUGAGGAUCGAAGCUUUUGGAAUACGUCAGGUGGAGAAGAUAUCGAUAAAGAUAGUGAGAGGCUUGAAUCUGCAAAAGCUGCAGCAAUUUCCUCUAUAAUCGGUGUUCUGGCUAGUUUGCCCAUAUCUUCCUAUGAAGUCCACAGUUUGCCCCAACUGUUUUUUCGAUCAUCGGUUGUUCUCAUAAGUUGUGCAUUGUUUGGAGUCACAUUCCGGUAUGCCGUUAGAAGAGAUCUGGAUAAUAUCCAGCUUAAAACAGGAGCUGCUGCCGCAUUCGCUGUUGUUAGAGGUCUUGCUUUGUUGGAAUCUGGGAGGCCCUUUGAGUUGAGCACUGAUGCCUUAAUGUCACUUGCUCUUGAUGGUGCAGUUAGUGUUGUUGGGAGCAUUUUUAUAUUUCUGUCUUCUGCUAUUGCACUGGACUAUUGUUUUAAGAUGGGAUUUUUGAGCCCAUUCCCUGCAAGGAAACAAUAG
RNAcentral lists this ribosomal RNA (891 nucleotides) under Triticum aestivum (bread wheat). Its description in RNAcentral is "partial small subunit ribosomal RNA". Lineage: Eukaryota; Viridiplantae; Streptophyta; Magnoliopsida; Poales; Poaceae. The record is from RNAcentral.